Molecule: ribosomal RNA, 274 nt
Filed under: uncultured bacterium
Lineage: Bacteria
Description: partial 16S ribosomal RNA
Rfam family: Bacterial small subunit ribosomal RNA
Source: RNAcentral
AUACGGAGGGUGCAAGCGUUAUCCGGAUUCAUUGGGUUUAAAGGGUGCGCAGGCGGACUUGUAAGUCAGUGGUGAAAUCCCGGGGCUCAACCUCGGAACUGCCAUUGAUACUGCAAGUCUUGAGUUUGGUUGAAGUGGGCGGAAUGUAGCAUGUAGCGGUGAAAUGCAUAGAUAUGCUACAGAACACCGAUCACGAAGGCAGCUCACUAAACCAACACUGACGCUCAGGCACGAAAGCGUGGGGAGCGAACAGGAUUAGAAACCCUAGUAGUCC